RNAcentral lists this ribozyme (116 nucleotides) under Aedes aegypti (yellow fever mosquito). RNAcentral describes it as "drz-agam-1 ribozyme". It matches the Rfam family "drz-agam-1 ribozyme". The record is from Rfam by way of RNAcentral. Lineage: Eukaryota; Metazoa; Arthropoda; Insecta; Diptera; Culicidae.
UGCCCAGCAACUCCUAUCCCUAUCUCCUCACGGUACUAGUCAGGGUACGAGCAACCUUGAGGAAGAUCGGGUUAUCAAACGCGGUGGGAAAUUUGGUCGUAUGCUGACAGGAAAGU